Long non-coding RNA from Herpailurus yagouaroundi (jaguarundi), 6059 nucleotides. RefSeq lists it as uncharacterized. NCBI's taxonomy places the organism in Eukaryota, Metazoa, Chordata, Mammalia, Carnivora, Felidae. The record is from RefSeq and is a predicted model, not a curated record. The transcript is spliced from 2 exons.
UCCUCCUCAUGCCCCCUUAGUGAGGGGCGGGAGCUUUGGCGGCAGCUCCGGGGCGGGGAGACAAGCCCCGGAGUCGGAAGAGCUGGGUUUGCUUCCGGGCUUAGCCACCAGCUGGCCGAGUGACCUUAGGCAAAUCACUCUGUAAUUUGUCAGCGCCUCAGUUUCCUCCUCUGCCUAUCAAUGUUUGUAGGGUUGAAAGCGCUUUGUAAACUAUAAAGCGUCGGUGUACGUAAGGGAUGAUUAUUAUUUGUAAUGGGGUUUUUUUUGAGUUGUAAAAAAAGUUAGCAAUUGCCCAGUUCUUGGAUUUUGAACCUGGGAACCUUGGAUUGGAGUUGGAAGCCCCCAAGUUCCCCCGAAAUUGUAUGCAGAAAUAGUGGGAGUGUGCAUUUGGGGGAAUGAGGAUCCAUCGCCAGCAAGUUUUCAAAGGGGGGCUGUGACCCAGAAGAGUUAAGAACUACAAUUCCGUAAUGCCACGAGGAGGAAACUGAGGCCUGGAUGUCAUUUGGGACCCUUCACAACCGAUUUGAAGCCCCUGUUAGGAUCCCUGGGAUAUGUGAGCUGUUUCUAUGCAUAAUGGAUAUUUGGGGUAACAACACUCCACUGCUUGGCUUCUAUUCUGAGUCCUUUCCUUUUACCAUGGGGUGCCUGAACGCUGGCUGACGUGUAUGGUAUGGUUUAUGGCACGCAAUAUAAAGCAGCUGAAACUAGAAAUGGAUGUGUUCCCUAGUAUCGAGAAACCUAUUUAAUCCUUGGCCCAGCAACUCUUGUUUUUCUGCUGCUUAUACUGGUGCCUGACUACCUUUCCCUUUCAUUGACCAUUUUCCACGACCAUGGUUGCCAUCCAUUACUUGCUUCUAUUGUAUAUCUUUAGUCUCUGCGGUUGGUAGUGAGCAGGCUUAUUUUUAAAUGGUGCUGCCGAGUCCAGCUAAUUAAUGGUGCAGGUGGAUUUUUAGCAAGCUGGCUCACUGGAACAGACUAAACCAGGCAUGGAAUUCUUGAAGAUGUUUGGGGGCUUAUCUUUAUUAAUUGAAGGUUAGCAUUCUCUGAAAUUUUGUUAUGACUUUGGCUGAACUUCAAAAUCAGUAGAUUUGGAAGUGUUUCAGUGCUUACUUUUUUCCUGGCCUGCUUUGUAUUCUAUUUGCUUGCAAGUGUGUUACUAAGAUGGCCAAGAUGCCAGUUAUUGCUUCUUUGUUAAUUGUCAGCUGCUUUUAUCAAAUUCCAGGCCAUUAUCCAGCAAACACUAUAGAAAUGUUUGAACAGUUGUAUUUCAAACAUUUUCUCUUUGUGGAGUGGUGCUUACCAGUGGUACAGCUCUAAGCAAGUGAACAUAAAUACAUAUAAGUGUAUUUCGUCUGGUUAGGUGUUCACCUGUUUUGUUAUUUCAUACAAAUGUCUGAGAAAAUCAGUUGACUAUUCCUUUUACGUAAAGGGCAGAGACAAAUGAUCUCACUUCCAGAGAAAGGACUGUUGUAGAGAAAAAUGUGUUGGUCUUUUAGCUCCUUUGUUAUCUGGAUGUACCUCAAAAGAAUCUUAAGACUGUGGUGAUCUUAUAAGAUGCUUUCCUCAGGAGAAAAGAGGAAAAAAAACAACUGGAACUCAAAGCUUGAAAUUCUGUAACAAAACAUGAGAUGUCCAGGAUAGGAGGCCGAAAAGAUUUCACUACAGUGUUCUGCACUAGCUGCAGCAGAUGCUUUUCUGUGUAGCCACGGCAUGGACUCCCGAUUUCCAGAUUUUCAAGAACUGCACCUGGGACCUGAAGAGCUCGUCAGGAUGUGACAGGGACUCUGGAGCUGAACAUACUUGUUUUUGAAUCUGGGGGCUGUUGACCUUGAUUUGAGAAGAGACAACAAUGGAGCAAGCACUGCCACCAGCGCUAUUACUGGGAAUUUGAAGACCUGAGUCUCUGCCAGAGCUUCAUUGCAAGUUCUAGUGACGCUCCAUCCAAAGUGAACUACGUCCUGUGCCUCCUGAUGGCUGAGUGUUCACCUGGACCUUCUGACCACCUUCCUUGUACUGUUCCAUCAGCCUAUAGAUCUGGUACCUGGAUUUUUGCCCAUGGUGAUUCCUUCACCUUACUGCUGAAGAAGACACCAUUCCAGUGGACCAUGGUGAUCCAAGAGGCAUUCAACCAUCAUGAUGUGGCCUUCAUCUCCACUCCUGUCGUGUUCUACCCAGAUUCAGCACAGCCCUUUAUAGUGAAGUCAAACUAUUCAAGCCAGAUAGCUGAAGCUAUUUUAUCACAGCAAAAGGCCCAGUUUGUUCCAUGAGUGUGCAUUUCGUUUCUUCAAUUAAAGCCUUCAGAGACACAUAAUAAAUUUGGACCAGGGGAUUUUUAGUUAUCAACACUGAAGAAUGGUAACAUCUUUCAAGAACGACGUUGGAUCAUACCCCACAAUUUCGAAUGAUUGAAAUUCGUGAAGUGUCUAGGGUCCUAUCCAGAUCACGGGACCCUAUUCUUUUUCAACUUCAAGUCUGUAGUAGCCUACUGAAUAGAAAGCAGAUAUUCUGACCAGCAGAUACUGGAAUUAAAACAAAGGCACAGUGAACUCAGCAUCUUUGGGAUUACUCAGGAACCAGAACUUUUCACACAAAUCUAAGAAAUUCUACCAAGGAAUCCCUUUAUCUAACAGCAUCUCACAAAGCUCCAAUCAGAUUCCAGAAAAGUCCUCUUGAUACAUCCAGGUAGAACCUAUCAUGGUAAUCCCUUAUGUUUAUAUAGCACUUUAUAGUUUCAAAGCACUUUUACAUGCAUAAAUCUCAAUUAUCAAAACAACACAAUAGAUUAUAAUUUCUUUUUGCAAAUGAGGAAAUUGAAGUUUAAAGGUUAUCCAAGGUGACAUAGCUACGAAGUGAUAAAGGUCAGGCCUUCUGACUCCCAGUCCAGUUCUCUCCAUGGAAUUAAUUUAGCCUCUACUUUACCUGCAGUGUUAAAAUGACUGGAGUUUGGUAACCCCAGAAAAGUUUCCCACUUCCUGAUCUGGUGCCCUCAGUCAGUCAGGAUGUCAUAAGUGUAAUUUUAUGAUGGCUCCAUCUAAGCCAGAAUUCUGUGGCACUACCCCUAAGGUUUAAGAGCAGACUGUCUCCUUAGUGGUAGAUUUAUCCAGUCAACAUGGCACAUGGUCAUCUGACAGUAAGACUACACAACAUGAAACACAAAGCUACUUCUAGAUCCGUUGUUCACAGUCUUCUCACAUUCCCAAAUGGCCUGAUUGGAAAUCCCUUUUCAUGUUUUGUUCUUUGUAAAAUUUUUAAAAAAGUUUUAUUAGUACUCUUGGACCCUGAGAUCUUAUCUAAGGUCUUCUAUCCCUCAAAAUUUACUUAAAAUGGAUCCUCCAUUUCUUUAGAGCAGUGCUGUUCACAUAUGUGUAUGUAUGCAUGUAUAUGAUGCAUGCAUACAACAUCUAUAUGUAGAGCUUGUGUAGUCUUGUAAGGUGGUAAAAUACGUGUUCCCUUCCCAAUUGAGUGUAGCAUAUUAAAGAAUCUCAGAAGACUUGCAACAAAGAGCCUCAUUGAGAUAUUUAGCCUAGUGUGUAGUAAGUUUAAUCAUGGACAGACUGUUCUUUUGGGAGCAUUCCUUUUAAUAGAGAAACUGCUUUGGAGCAGUAUAGCCAGUGCUUCCUGAUUGCCCUGAAGACUCAGGAGUAAACGGAAUCUUUGAAACCACCACCCUCUUUUCUUACUUUUGUCAGUAACUGCUUGAAUUUGUAUGUCUUUAUCAUCUGAGAGUCCUACAUCUUGACCGUUACCUCUUAUUUUCUGUGAAAGGAACCUCUAGAAGGUUUGUGGGGAUAUGUGGGAAGAGAAUGGGGAAAAGUUUAUUUUGCCCCCAAAUUGGUUGAAUUCCAUGACAUUUAACAACAUAUUUUUCUGUCCCUAAAAUUGUGCUGUAAACCUAGUUUAAGGGCAUUGUAUCUCAGGUGGGUGAGGAGAUUGGGAAGGGAAGGGAGGAGGAAAAGGAUGGUGGGAGAAAAGGGGGAGGAGAAUAAUAUUUUCAUAGAAUUUGAGUUGUGGCCCAUUGAGAUCUUCAAAGAUCUUGAAGAGAAGUUAUCUAGCCAUGGACUUGGGAUAAUACUUGCAAAGAAAUGAAAGCAUUUUGCAGCUGUAUGCUGACUGCAAAAAUCCCAGUGCUAUUGUCACUUAAAACCAAUAGCCCUGUUCACUGAUAGUCACAAACCCAAUUUGAGGCAGUCAGAAUUUAUAGCAGAGUUGAAUGUUAACUUCAUCAUUCUGUAAUGUGGUCCGUAUUAAGGAAAGAAUGAAUAGGAAAACACCUUGGCUUACCACAGGCUUUGCUCACAGUUUCUGGUUUCUGUGACCUAUUUUUUGUAUUUCAGCAUUUUGUGAACAACUUAUUCUUAGAUCAUUGGUUUUCCAAAGGCUUUGUGACCAUGAAGCCCUUUCAAUGAAAACUAUGUGGAAACCCAGAAUAAAAGAGAAGCUGCUGUAGAUGAAGCAGGAGUGGGGGGCCUGAAACCUGCCACAAGCAUCUUCCUUUACCACCAUGGUGACCCCUAAGGAGACUUCUUUACAACACCUAGAAUUCUUCAGAACACAGUUUGAAAACCACUGCCCUAGACAACAUGUGCAACCUGAAUGGCAUUCUGAUCUGUACCUCUACCCAACCCAGUCCAUGUUCAGUCGAUGCUGCACAUUCUUAGGAAUGCUUACUGUGGGCAAAGUCAGAAAAGUGCAAGAAGAUGGGCAUAUCUUUGCCACCCCAGGGUAGUCAAGUGGGCUGAAAGUGGUAUCAAAUGGACCUAGAUUAACAGCCCUGUACCCCCAGAUGGAUUUCAAAUGAGUGAUUCCUGGCAUUCAAUAUAGUCAGAGAGCAAUGCAUAUGUACUCUACACUGACACACUCCCUUACCCAACUUCUAUCACAAACACCACAUGCUCUAGUGGUACUUGAAAUACAUAACUUUGAAGUCUUGAUCUCCUUGGAUACCUGAAUCGCCAGGUAUUGAAGCUGGUACUAAAGUUGAUGAUGCCUCGUUGAGGCCAUAUAAGACCAACUUGUACAUUGGACCUCCCAUCAUCAGCCAUGGUACUCUACUUCGUGUGCAAGGGAUAACCAUUAACUAUGAAAGCAGAACUGAAAUUCUGGCAACAUUACCUAAAAAGGUACCCGGUUACUCAUGUUAUUCUCAAAACUGCAAGUCACUAUGACUCAACCAGUGGCAGUUACACUGCUCCUUGGUUUUUAUUCAGUUUAACUGCUGUUUCCAGGAUAAAUGAGGUAAUAACCUUAAAAAACAAAAUUUCCUCCAUCACUGGCAUAUCUGCUCCAAAAUUAUGAAUAUUCUGCUCUAACUACAGGUAACAUCUGGUCCACAAGAGACAAUUUUUGAACAUCCUCUGAUGUAUGUGAUUUUAAAUGUGACCCUUUGGAAGAUUUUCUUCUAACCAAUGAGAGAUGUUCUUUUAUGAUGGACCUUUUGAUGUCAGGUACCAUCAACUACAGGUGUUAGGAUUAUUUGGAGGUAGACCUUUUGACCAGGCCAUGGAGCUUGCUUGCUGGGCAUCUCAAGUUGCAUAUCUACCUUUUUGCUGAAAAUGUAGACUGACUUGAAAAAAAAUCUACAAAGCCUGCAGCUAAGAAUUUUAUCAGUAGACUCAAGAGCUUCCUGCAGCUUCUUCCUAAUGUCACAAGACCACAGUGUCUUGUCCUUGUGGAUAUUUUAAUGGAAUUUCAUCUGUCUCAAUAUUGUUUUACACUGAUUCAGAGUGGCUGACUUCAUUCCUUGCUAUGAGAUACUCUCAGGCAUUAAGACACUUAUCUGUUUCUGCAGGAUGGAUUCAAUUCAUGAACUCCCAGACCAGAUCAUGUCAAACAAGUAGACUUCGAUUUUUGUCAUGAGAAAAAUCUCAUUCUCUUACUUCACAGUCUACUUAAGGGGCAGCUGUCCUCAACUACUUUAAUGAAUGCACUGGUUAAAUGUUGGGAAUGAUUUCUUUGUAUCUUUGUCUCUUACUCUUUAGACUAACCCUGAUUACAUGACUCUGUCUACAAAUCAUCAAACAAGGCCUGCACAUCCUCAACUAAUAAAAAUCUAAUGACUA